Molecule: long non-coding RNA, 2391 nt
Organism: Aethalodelphis obliquidens (Pacific white-sided dolphin)
Lineage: Eukaryota; Metazoa; Chordata; Mammalia; Artiodactyla; Delphinidae
Exons: 5
Source: RefSeq, a predicted model, not a curated record
AAGAUAUGCAAACAAGCUAAGUGUCCAUUGAUGGGUGAAUGGAUAAAGAAAAUGUAUGUGUGUGUACAUAUACAUAUAUUUUUUUAGUUUCUUUUGCAAGCUCACCUUCCUCAAAUUUCUUGCUAAAUGAUGUAAUUCCUCAAAAACAAAAAAAAAUGUAGAACAGGGUAAUUUCUUAACGAUGUUUCCAGAUAUGUCUGCAGCAUAGAGAAAUAUUUUAGAAGACACCUCCUUCACAGAGGUAAUGAAAUGGAAGCAUUUCCAAACAGAAAACAUGGAAUUUUAGACAAAUUCUGUUUGGAUAAUCUUCAGAUGAUAAUGGUCAGUGUGGAUACAGCUAUUUCCUAAUACAGUGUUUGUACAUCUGGACAUAGGAUUUGGAAUACUUGAUGAGUGGUGUUUUUUUCCAGGGCUCCCAAAGGAAAUCUUCCAGAAAAUACAAACUCUGAACAGGAAUGGAAAGGCCCAACUCUGAACAGGAAUGGAAAGCAGUUCUGAAGGCUGAGAAGUCCAAGACCAAGAUGCUGGCAGGCUUGGUGUCUGGAAGCGCAUGCAGGGGACAGAUGCUGGGUUGUGGUCUGGAGAUCUGCUGAGGACCCGGGUGCUCAGGAUGGCAGGAGGUUGGGAAUCCUGUGUGGACUCACUGCUUGGAGCUUAACACUGAACCUGCUUUCUGGCUUCUGACCUCCCCAAAGCCUGCAAGCCCACUGCAGCCUGGACCUCAGGUGAGACUAAAAUCCUCCUUUCUUUGGUACCAAAAUCACCACUCUUACAGUAAUUGUGAAGUCCCAGAUCAAACAUUUGGAUCUUCUUACUUGGGAAGUAUCUUUUGGACAUCAAAGGCAGAUCAGCUAGAACACUAUCAAGAUGAUGCAAUUGAGAGGUAAGGGUACGGUCAAAAGGAGCCCAGAGGUUGGUUGUAUCUGUUAAAAGCAUUUAAAAAACAACAGAAAACCCCACAACAAAACCCUCAACUCAGAAACAUCCUGAAUACUCAGUGUUUAGGUGCUAAAAUAUUAAAAGAUUAAUAACAUGAGUCAUUUAACUGUUUACGUUCUCUUAUUGGACCAGUCUAGAUGGAAGACAGUAGUAAGCUGAAGGUAAAAAUUUCAAUUGCUUUCUUACUAGUCUGCUAAAAGUAUCUUUUAAAAGCACAGGGUAUAUAUGAAUUUUGUAGACUUUCGCAUUUUCACAAUUUUAGCAAAUUCCAGUCUAUGUCUCUGACAGUUUUUUUAUAGAUUUGUCCUACUUUUUUGUGCAUUUUAUGCAUAUCCUUUAAAAACAUAUACUCGAAAUAGAGCUCCUAAUUAAUAUACAACAUGAGUUUCUUCACAUACUUUCAUCUUAACCCAAUUUCCCUUUAGAGCCCUUGGCCAUGAGCUGAGGACAAAGGUUACUGUAACUUUUUGAGAUAUUGUUUCCUGAUACUUUGCUCAUUUAUUUUUCUAUUUUAGAAUACUGUGUGGCAAUUCUCAUGAUACAGCCAAACCUAACUGUGACCUAUUCUCAGUACCUGACCAAUGCAUUAAAGAAAGAUUCUCAAACAAGAUCUGAGUCUCUGGGAUUGACACCUAUGAAGACUCAAAAUUGAAGAACUAUCAGGACUGAGUAUUCUAGUGCCUGCUCUACUGGGUAAAUUAAAUCCAAAAGAACUGGGGGAAGAAAUGCUUCCAUGUUUUGCCUAUAUAAACCCAAUAUUUAGUUAGUUACCUGUUUCACAAGAACCUGUGACUAAGGUGAAGAGAAAUGAUCUCUUCCUUUAUACAAUCACCUAAUUCCUUAUAGCUUUCUAAGUCAGUUUUCAAUUAAGCACCAUUUCCUACAUGAACUGUUACUCCUACCAAAUGCAACUGUUACAUAGGGCUGAACUGGACAUAAUUUAAACAUUUUCAUGAAAAAAACCACUAAUUGGCUUAGCACUACACCCUUACGGGGAAGGAGAAGCAUUUACAGAAAUACAAUUUGUGAAGAAUAAACGUAUUUUGGAACCUGAGCCAAAGGUUUCUCACCAAUACCUUAAUAAGUCACCAUGCAGGUUGUUUUCACAGGCAACAACACAGCCAGGUCAACUGUUGCUCCUGGCAACUUCCAUUGUCCCAAAAUAUGUGGAAGAUGGAGAAGCCAAUGACUGAAAUCCACAGUUAGGAAUACAGGCCAAACCUCAACAAACUGCUACUGGAAGCAACUGGAUACCAUAAUAUUAAACAUAGACAUGUGAAAACAGAAUGAGCACACAAAGAAAUGAACAGCUGCUAAGAUCACAAUGCUCAGAGUCAGACCCAAUGAGGGUAUUACCACACACACACACAGAUACAUCUCACCAUACCUGUUUACAAUCCCAGGCCCUUGCUCUCAAAUAAAUAUAUUGAACAUUUACAACAGAAUGAAUGC